Long non-coding RNA from Aethalodelphis obliquidens (Pacific white-sided dolphin), 3072 nucleotides. RefSeq lists it as uncharacterized. The transcript has 3 exons. The record is from RefSeq and is a predicted model, not a curated record. NCBI's taxonomy places the organism in Eukaryota, Metazoa, Chordata, Mammalia, Artiodactyla, Delphinidae.
GAUAUUCGGGUAGACCAGCCCCGCUGAGCUUUCAGCCUACAGCCAGGAUCAAUGACCAAGUUUUGAGUGAGCCAUCUUGUCUAUUCCAGCCCAUUUGAAUCCUCAGGUGACUGCAGUCCUAGCCAACAUCAUGUGGAGCAGUAGAACUGAUCAGAAAGGUGGAUGGAGUUUUGAAACAGAUGCACAUAGGAGAAGGUGAUGUAAAGAUGGUGGCAAAGACAAAGUGCUGUGGUUACAAACUAAGGAAUGCCAAGGAUUUCUGAUACACACCAGAAGCUGAAAGAGACUCACGUCACUGAAAAGGUCACUUACUCUAUCACAAAACAGAAAUUAUUUGUGAUGAUUUUAACCCUCAUGUAAAGAACACUGUAUUUAUUGCUGUCCCUGAUCUUCAAAGAUAAGGUUGAUAAUGAUGAUUACCAUCUCCUUGUUUCUGAAGAAAAAAGACCUAGAAGAGAACAAUAGCUCUUUCCAUGAAUAAGCAUAAAUUUUUAUUAUAGCAAUAAAAAAGUAACUAUUUAACUGACAUAAUGUGAAUCUGCUACAAUUUUCAAAAGGUUUUAUUCUCAGUUUAUGCCACAUUCUAGUCUUUAAUUUUAAAUUUUAAAUUGAGUAAGUCUGCAAUUCACGAUACCUAAGAUUUAUCUACCUAACCUGAAUAUUAUAUAAUUUAAUUUAACAUUAUAUGCCAACAUCUCAGUGAGUAAAAAACUCAGAAGAAAACAUCCACAAAUCUUCACCACUUCAUCCCUCAGAUACUUGAAUCUGUUCCCACCUACUCUUUCUUCCUACUGGUUAAAAUGGAUGAACUCUUUGUUCAUCCCUUGCUCUUAGCAAAUGCCAGCUCCUCCAUUUGCUUUCUAAUCUCAUCUACUCUCUCCAACACAAGAACACUGCUUCCACAAUACUCACUUCUCUCUCCUACAUCAUCCGUUUUCUCCCCCAUCUGAAUUGUUCCAUCAACAUAUAAAAAUGUUGUUCUUCUAUCUAAAGAAAAGGCCUCUCGCCAUCAUUACUCAUUUCCUCCUUCAGUAAACACUCCAUAUACUUCUUUCCCUUUAGAGGAAAACUCCUCAGAGGAUUGUCUCUGCAAAUUCUGUCUUAAAUCCACUCUGUUCAAGAUUUUCUCCCAUUACCCGCUGAAGCUGUUGCUGUUGAUAACCUUCAUUCCGGUCAAUUCAAUGGCCACUUCUCAGUUCUUGUAUUACUUGAUCCCUCAGCAGCUUUCCACACAACUGGUCACACUCACUCUGCUGGUAAACAUUUUCUUUGCUUCCAGGUCACUACAAUCCCAGUUAUCUUCCUUCUUUUUGGCCCUACUUUUUAUUCUACUCUGAAGUUUCCUCUUCAUCUCUCCAACAACUGCUGAAUGUUGAAAUACCCAAGGCUCAAUCCUUGUAUAUCUUUUGUGUCCUCACUAAUUCCCUUUCAUCCAGUCUCUAUUAUAACUCAUGUUUCCCAGUAUGGCCUGAACUUCUCCCUUAUGCCCUCAGGUCCAACUACACAACAUAUCUCCACACGGAUGUCUAAGAGACAUUUCAGUUUACCAUAUUCAAAACUGACCUCCUCAUCUCUAUCCUCUCUGCAAACCUGCUCUUCCCAUGUCUGUUAAGGGCAACUCCAUAACUUGUAGUAGUUCAGAGAAAAUGCUUUACAAAGUUUUCUCCCACAAUUCACGUUGAAACCACAGCAAAUACCAUUAGCUCUACCUUCCAGAUACAUCUAGAAUCAACUACUUCCCACUAUUUCCCCCAUUAGUCACUAUUCCAAGGCCCCUGAAUUAUUGCCACUAGCCUCCUCUGGUUUCUCUGCUUCCACCCUUUCUCCCCUUUAGGUUCUUCUCAACACUGAUAAAAUAUGUCAGAUCAUGCACAAUUCUCAAAAUCCUCCAGUAGCCCUUUAUCUCACUUAGAGACAAGUCUAAGUAAUUGCAACAGCUACAAGUUCCUAUGAAGUUUGGCUCCCUGUGCUUUUGUGAUCUUAUCUUCUACAAUCCCAUGUAUUUACUGUGCUCUAGUCACACUGGCCCCCUUUAUGUGGCUUGAAUUUGCUAGGCAUUCUCCCACUUCAGGGCCUUCAUAAUUGCUAUUUUCUUUCCUGGAAUCCUCAUUUGCUACGUAACCCCAUGGCAAGUUUCCUUCAGCUCCUCCCAGUUUUAACUCAUAUAUUAUCUUCUCAGAGUGUUCUUCCCUGAGCAUCCUAUUUAAAAUUGCAAUAGUCCCCCGGAACACCCUCUGUCCCCUUCCCUUGGUUUAUUUCUCUUUAGCAUCAUUAUAAUUUAACAUACUGCAUAAUUUACUUAGUUUAGUUUCAUUUCUGUCUCCCACACUUCACUUUGCAAGUUCCAAGAGGGCGAGUUUUUCAGUGUUAUUUACUCCUAUCGACUUGAUGCCCAGAGAGUUGUUUCAAAUAUUACAGGGAUUCAAUAAAUAUUUGUGAAAUGAUUAUAUAAGUAAGGAGUAGAGUCCAUGGCGAUUAAAAGCACAGAUUUCAGUGUUAGGAAGACCUGGAUAUGAAUUCCUGCUCUGCCUCUUACUAAGUAACUUACCUUGAACAAGUAAUUUUUCUUAGCCCCAGUUUACUCAUUAUAAAAUGGAUAUAAUGAUACUUAGCACUCAAAAUUAUUUUUAUAAGCUGGAAAGGAAAUAAUAAAAUUUAAGCAAAAAAAAAGAGAAAACAUCACUUUUGCAGUGAUUCAUUAUCACUAUCAAUAAUGAGUAAUAAAAUGAGAUUGUCCAAAUAUAUAUGAUAAAUUGUAAUUGCUUUAAUUGGCCACUAAGUUAAUUAUUUUAAUCAUUUCAAAUUUACUCAAAAAUUAUUUUUUACUUUAUAGUGCCAUUUGAUACUCAUUAAAAGAUGAUUAAGAAAAUUACAGUACAUUUCUCACAAGUUUUGAAUUAUAAAAUGUAGUUUUAUAAAUAAAAUAGUUUUUUAGAUAUACUUUCCAUAAAGAGUUGCAUGUUCAAUUUUAAAAUGUAAUUAUAGUAUUCAACAAAGACAUUUUAAAAUAAUAAAUUUAGAUGUUAAUCAUUUUGGUUAGCUCCAAACUUACAAUGAGCUUUAUUUUAUUUA